CAGUAGCCGCGGUAAUACGUAGGGUGCAAGCGUUAAUCGGAAUUACUGGGCGUAAAGCGUGCGCAGGCGGUUAUAUAAGACAGAUGUGAAAUCCCCGGGCUCAACCUGGGAACUGCAUUUGUGACUGUAUAGCUAGAGUACGGCAGAGGGGGAUGGAAUUCCGAGUGUAGCAGUGAAAUGCGUAGAUAUGCGGAGGAACACCGAUGGCGAAGGCAAUCCCCUGGGCCUGUACUGACGCUCAUGCACGAAAGCGUGGGGAGCAAACAGGAUUAGAUACCCCGGUAGUCCCUGUCUCUUAUAC
This 301-nucleotide ribosomal RNA is filed under the name uncultured bacterium. Its description in RNAcentral is "partial 16S ribosomal RNA". It matches the Rfam family "Bacterial small subunit ribosomal RNA", at positions 509 to 807 of the family's 1533-position model. The record is from RNAcentral.